AAUCUUCCUCAAUUGACGAACGUCUGACGGAGCAACGCCGCGUGAGUGAUGAAUGUUUUCGUUUCGUACGACCCUGUUGUUAGGGAAGAACAAGUAUCUGAGUCACUGACGGUACCUUAACUGUACCUUACGAGAAAGCCACGGCUAACUACGUGCCAGCAGCCGCGGUAAUAAGUAGGUGGCAAGCGUUGUCCGGAUUUAUUGGGCGUAAAGCGCGCGCAGGCGGUCUUUUAAGUCUGAUGUGAAAUCUUACAGCUUAACUGUAAGCGGUCAUUGGAAACUGGGAGACUUGAGUGCAGAAGAGGAGAGUGGAAUUCCAUGUGUAGCGGUGAAAUGCGUAGAGAUAUGGAGGAACACCAGUGGCGAAGGCGACUCUCUGGUCUGUAACUGACGCUGAGGCGCGAAAGCGUGGGGAUCAAACA
RNAcentral lists this ribosomal RNA (422 nucleotides) under uncultured bacterium. RNAcentral describes it as "partial 16S ribosomal RNA". It matches the Rfam family "Bacterial small subunit ribosomal RNA", at positions 360 to 774 of the family's 1533-position model. The record is from RNAcentral.